RNAcentral lists this ribosomal RNA (460 nucleotides) under uncultured bacterium. RNAcentral's name for it is "partial 16S ribosomal RNA". It matches the Rfam family "Bacterial small subunit ribosomal RNA", at positions 338 to 795 of the family's 1533-position model. The record is from RNAcentral.
CCUACGGGGGGCAGCAGUGAGGAAUAUUGGUCAAUGGACGAGAGUCUGAACCAGCCAAGUAGCGUGAAGGAUGACUGCCCUAUGGGUUGUAAACUUCUUUUAUAUGGGAAUAAAAUGUUCCACGUGUGGGAUUUUGUAUGUACCCUAUGAAUAAGGAUCGGCUAACUCCGUGCCAGCAGCCGCGGUAAUACGGAGGAUCCGAGCGUUAUCCGGAUUUAUUGGGUUUAAAGGGAGCGUAGGUGGAUUGUUAAGUCAGUUGUGAAAGUUUGCGGCUCAACCGUAAAAUUGCAGUUGAAACUGGCAGUCUUGAGUACAGUAGAGGUGGGCGGAAUUCGUGGUGUAGCGGUGAAAUGCUUAGAUAUCACGAAGAACUCCGAUUGCGAAGGCAGUUCACUGGACUGCAACUGACACUGAGGCUCGAAAGUGUGGGUAUCAAACAGGAUUAGAUACCCGAGUAGUC